AACCAUGCGUGAGUGCAUCUCCAUCCACGUUGGCCAGGCUGGUGUCCAGAUUGGCAAUGCCUGCUGGGAGCUCUACUGCCUGGAACACGGCAUCCAGCCCGAUGGCCAGAUGCCAAGUGACAAGACCAUUGGGGGAGGAGAUGAUUCCUUCAACACCUUCUUCAGUGAGACGGGCGCUGGCAAGCAUGUGCCCCGGGCUGUGUUUGUAGACUUGGAACCCACAGUCAUUGAUGAAGUUCGCACCGGCACCUACCGCCAGCUCUUCCACCCUGAGCAGCUCAUCACAGGCAAGGAAGAUGCUGCCAAUAACUAUGCCCGAGGGCACUACACCAUUGGCAAGGAGAUCAUUGACCUCGUGUUGGACCGAAUUCGCAAGCUGGUAUGUUUCUUUUCAAGAAUAAAGUAAAUUAAUGAGCCUAAAGAACACAUUUGAAAUACUGCUUUUUUUUUUCCAAACACAGAAUUGAACUGUUAUUUUAAUAAAGAGUGGAAUGAGUCAUUCUUUGGAGGUUUUUUAAAUUCAGUUAAAAUGAACUAUUUGGUGUCAUUUUGUAAAUGUUAAUGAGAAUUUUUUUAAAAGCAUUUGUCAAAAUAAGAUCUAAGUCCUGGAAGAUGUAUGAAAAGUGAAAAUAUAUUUACUAUGAUUGUACUACAAAAAUAAAAACUUAACCUUU
RNAcentral lists this small RNA (674 nucleotides) under Pongo abelii (Sumatran orangutan). RNAcentral's name for it is "retained intron". The record is from RNAcentral. Lineage: Eukaryota; Metazoa; Chordata; Mammalia; Primates; Hominidae.